This 468-nucleotide ribosomal RNA is filed under the name uncultured bacterium. RNAcentral's name for it is "partial 16S ribosomal RNA". It matches the Rfam family "Bacterial small subunit ribosomal RNA", at positions 28 to 507 of the family's 1533-position model. The record is from RNAcentral.
GACGAACGCUGGCGGCGUGCUUAACACAUGCAAGUCGAACGGAAAGGCCCUGCUUUUGUGGGGUGCUCGAGUGGCGAACGGGUGAGUAACACGUGAGUAACCUGCCCUUGACUUUGGGAUAACUUCAGGAAACUGGGGCUAAUACCGGAUAGGAGCUCCUGCUGCAUGGUGGGGGUUGGAAAGUUUCGGCGGUUGGGGAUGGACUCGCGGCUUAUCAGCUUGUUGGUGGGGUAGUGGCUUACCAAGGCUUUGACGGGUAGCCGGCCUGAGAGGGUGACCGGCCACAUUGGGCCUGAGAUACGGCCCAGACUCCUACGGGAGGCAGCAGUGGGGAAUAUUGCACAAUGGGCGGAAGCCUGAUGCAGCACCGCCGCGUGCGGGAUGACGGCCUUCGGGUUGUAAACCGCUUUCGCCUGUGACGAAGCGUGAGUGACGGUAAUGGGUAAAGAAGCACCGGCUAACUACGUG